RNAcentral lists this ribosomal RNA (440 nucleotides) under uncultured bacterium. Its description in RNAcentral is "partial 16S ribosomal RNA". It matches the Rfam family "Bacterial small subunit ribosomal RNA", at positions 339 to 795 of the family's 1533-position model. The record is from RNAcentral.
CUACGGGCGGCUCCAGUGGGGAAUAUUGCACAAUGGAGGAAACUCUGAUGCAGCAACGCCGCGUGGAGGAUGACACUUUUCGGAGCGUAAACUCCUUUUAUAUAGGAAGAAGAUGACGGUACUAUAUGAAUAAGCGCCGGCUAACUCCGUGCCAGCAGCCGCGGUAAUAGCGGAGGUCGCAAGCGUUACUCGGAAUCACUGGGCGUAAAGAGCGUGUAGGCGGAUUAAAAAGUCAGAAGUGAAAUCCUAUAGCUUAACUAUAGAACUGCUUCUGAAACUCUUAAUCUAGAAUAUGGGAGAGGUAGAUGGAAUUUCUGGUGUAGGGGUAAAAUCCGUAGAGAUCAGAAGGAAUACCGAUUGCGAAGGCGAUCUACUAGAACAUUAUUGACGCUGAGACGCGAAAGCGUGGGGAGCAAACAGGAUUAGAUACCCCCGUAGUC